This 1959-nucleotide long non-coding RNA is filed under the name Elaeis guineensis (African oil palm). RNAcentral describes it as "long non-coding RNA (EGUI_LNC008729)". Lineage: Eukaryota; Viridiplantae; Streptophyta; Magnoliopsida; Arecales; Arecaceae. The record is from RNAcentral.
CAGGCUGCAGAGGGUGCAAACCACACAUAAAUACCAAUUAAAUAAGAACAUAAACAGCUGACGUUCUCCAAAUCAAGCAGCUGGCUGUAGAAAGUACAAGUCCCUAGAAUCUGCAAGAAAAAUCAUUGUAACAGACGAUUUUCUGACAUGAAUCACAAAGACUGCACCAAGAUUCUAGAUGGGAAAGGAAAUACAUUUCCGUAACCGAAUCAGCUAUCUUCACACAGAAAGAAGGGAUCUAAGCUAUCACCAGAAACAUAUUUUAUCAUUAGUGUGCAAAUAAUUCAUUAGGAAUGCAAGAUCCAGCAUAAGUUCAUAACUAAAGAGAGAUUAAGGUAACAAAUACUGUUCACCACAAAGCAGCACUUCGACAAAACAGAUGACUAAAUCCUUGGGGAGAAAAUAGAAACGAAACAGAAGAAAUGGAAAAAGUAUGUGUCAAGAUAUUCCUUUGAAUUUCUACUAACAAACAGAAAUGAACAUCAAUCCCUGCCACCAGAAAAAUAUUAAACCAUUAGUUACAACAUCAAAAAAGUGAACACAGAACUAGUAGCUGUCCACUUAGCUAAUAGCAACCAUACAAUUACAUCAUGUGAAGUUUCAACAAUUACAGAAAACUCUUUUUCACGUAAAGAUUCCUGCUGCAAACUGAAACAAUGCUGAUGAUAGAGGAAUGAUAUGAUGAUACAAGAGCAAUUAUAAAAGAAAUAAACAGGUUUUCAUAGAGAUGUGGAUGCUAAAUGACCUUUUUUCCUCAAAACAUCAACGAGAAACAAGAGAAGUUAUAGCUGCUAAUUUCAAUCACUGAAAAUAGCAAGGUAACAUAAAGGUGAUGUCUCCUACUCAUACCAAGGAUGACCAGAUCAUGGACUGUUGUACCACCUCAAACCACCCACACAAGGUGUACCAUACCAUAGUAGGUCAGAACUAAUAUUUGAGUUGGUCGUACCAAGAUUGCAAACCUUGGACCAAAUAAAAUAAAAAAGAAAUGAGUAAGUAAAAUAAUUACUUGUCACUCUGCACAAUCAGCAUUUUAAGAAACAGGGGAAACAAUUAUAAUUGAACCCACUAGAUAUGAGGCCAUAUAAGUCAGUGACCAAGCAUCAACUAGCAGCCUUUCAGCAAGUAUUGAGAAAAUAGGCCUACACAAUCAGGUUAUAAUUGUAUAAACAGAACUGAAACUCUCUGAGUAGUGUCCCAAGGAAAAUGGUCUCAAAAGUUUUUGAAAAAAAUUAGUUAAAGUCCAUUCCUCUUGUUGCAGUUGACCAUAGAUCAUCAUUUGUCGACCAUGUUGCAAGCUUCGGACAUUAAAUUAGCAAGGUCACCAAAUAUGCAACUAGCAUACGCAUAUCCAAAAACUGGAAAUUUCUAUCCAUAGACUUAAACAUUCAAAACUUCCAGCCUAAUCCACGCAGGUCAACAAACCAAGAAACAGAAAAGAAGAUAAAAAGAGGAAUAAGAACAUAAUUCAGUUCCCAAAACCUGAUUGACUCCCUCACCCAUCCACCUUGGUCAAUUUUCCCCCCUCCUGCAGCCAGAUCUCACCUUGCCAUGGUUGUGACACGCACUGGAAGGAGAAGAUUUGCCAGAUCUCUUCUCACUAUCCCUCUCUUGUUGUAGGUAAUGGGGAAGGCCAUGCCAGAGGAGCAAGCAAAACCACAAGAGGUGGCAUCAUUAACGGAGUGGUGGAGGGGAAGGCAGUGAAAAGAGGAUAUGAAGCAGCCAGAUCUUGAUUGGAAGAGGGCUCCUCCUCUUCUUCAUGCGGAUUGAGGUGGUGUGGCCAGAUUAAUCGAUGGCUGGAUACGGGAGCUACAAGUUUGAGGAAAAGGGGAAGUCCUCUUGUCCUCCUCGAGGGAGUGUACCUCCACCUCCGAGUGCCAAACCACCCUUUAAGGCUCGACAUGUUUUAUUUUCCUCAAAUGACCUUACGUGGCUUGUUCGCAGAACAAAAGGCAACUC